GCCGGCUUUUCCUUCUCCAGCCUUAUUGCUAACUCUCUAAAGGUCCCUACAAGUGGCUUUCGUGGAGCGAUCACGUGGCCCCUGCCCCCUCGCGUUCUGGGUCCAUUUAUAUUUAUUAUGCUAAUAUUUAGAAAGAGAAGGCCAAGUGGCGCGCCGAAGGAAACGCCUCAGGCAGUUACAACCCGCAUAAGUUGAGCGUUUACCACACGCCAGGCGCUGCUCCACGAUCCGUACAAUCUCAUUUAACCCCUGCAACAAUUCCCCACUACGAUCCUCUUUCUAUAGGUAGGGAAACUGAGGCUCACAGCAGCUGCGUAGUUUACCUUAAGGUGGAACCAAAAUUCAAUUGCAGUGGUGUAUUCUGGGGUCCGAGGUCUUAAACCCUACUCUGCUCCCUUAUCAGGAUUCAGGCUCAGGGAAUGAAUAAACCCGGGACAGCUAGGAGAAGGGAGGAGGUGCGCUCCUGUCGCCGGCUAGUAGGCCUGAAGAUAAAUCACUCUAUUCAGCAAGAUUUGGGUGGCAGAUGCUAUUUACCUUUGUUCUGUCUCUUUGAAGCAGCGCAGGGAUUUUCCAGAGAAAUCUUGACAGAUGAAUGUUUAUCCUCCAGGUUUUUUGGUGAUCAGAGGUCAAACUAUUCUCAGCCUGUUUUUAAUAUAAACAAUUCUCUGGGAUAAUUUUGACUGUGAAACGGCCACCUCUAACAGAAAGUCCAUUUUAAACAUUGUUUUGUUGUUUUUGUUUUGUUUUGACUGUGCUGAAUAAAAUGUUUCUUUUAUUCUAAAAUGUUUUCUCAGCUGAAAUUUUCAAGUCUGUUUCUGUCCGUAAGUGAUUUGACUUUCUAUGUAUUAGAUGGUAAUGAGGAAAUUGCAGGUUUUCCAGUCUACAUCUAUUUUUAAAAUUCUGAGCAUAAAGAAUAUUUUAUUAUAAAUUGUUUUGCUUACUUGUAUAAUAGUUUCCUUCAUAAUUAAAUAAGCUCCUUUAACUUUUCACAUAUAGGGCCUAU
RNAcentral lists this long non-coding RNA (1003 nucleotides) under Homo sapiens (human). RNAcentral describes it as "non-protein coding ST7-AS1:2". The record is from RNAcentral. Lineage: Eukaryota; Metazoa; Chordata; Mammalia; Primates; Hominidae.